GUUUCCUUUUCUGUAGUCCCCUUCUGUGUCCGGUUCUGCUCCCUGGUAUUUCCUCCUUUCCUCUCCCCCCCUCUCUCUCUGGGUUCCCUUCCUCUGCCUGGGCCCUCUGUGUCUGCCCUUGGUCCCGUGUGCCUGCUGGCUACUCACCUCGGCUGCUCCUCUGGGAGUGUGAAGCUUACCUCCUCGCCGCUGCUCUUCUCACAGGAUCUGGUUGUUGUUCCUGGGACUGUCCAGCAGGUGGCGCUUGGAACUCCUGCUAGUCUGCACAGUGAAGAAAUUCAACUUACCUCUGUCCUGUCUGGAUCUUCUUUGCUUCCUUUGCCGCGGGAGGUUCCUCGGGCAUCGGCCCGUGAGUACAUUUCAGUCUCUUCGGUUGGGGGUCCCUCGCUGGGUGGGUUUCUGUCCGGGCUUAGGGGUUUUCAGGUUUAUGGGAGUGGGGUGCGCACGCUGGGGGGUCCCCUCUUUACAUAGUCGGGUUCGGGCGGCUGGGUCCUCGCUGCAUCCACAAGGGGUUCAGGCGGCCCCUGCGGUCACGGGGUUCCCCUCUCCUGGGACGAGCGUCCAUGGCAUCCCUACCUCGGUGUCAGGUGCCGCGGCGCCUGCUGUUGCAGAGGUGUCUCCAGCCUUGGGGGACCCCCCUGGGUGUUUCUGACAUGGCGCGUGAGUCCGCCUAUAUGUGUUGGUCAGGUUAGGAGAGGUACUAGUACCGGAGAUCCCCCAAAACAAAAAACACAUAAACAAAAAAAAAAGUCAAUAAAUAAUUAGUAGAAAAAAAAAUAAAAAUUGGGGGGCUUGCACUUGUGGUGGGAAGUUAGGGACAGGGUUUGGCGGGGGGGGGAAUUUGUGGAAGUUUUAUUCCCCCCCCGUCCCCAUGGAGGAGGCUCCUCUGUAGGUGGAGGAGGAUGCGAAAGAGUCCACCUCUAGGGGAGCCCAUCCCGUCUCCUGCUGCAUGGAGCGGGUGGUAAAUUGGGGCCCUUGGCUCGCCCGCUACAGGAAUCGUCGGGCUGCUGACAUCCGGUUAGGCGGGUUUGUGCAUGGUUUGUGGUUCCACCCACCCCCUUCCCUGCUUGUUAGGAGCCUUCGGUCGGUUCGGAAGUUCCCUCAGAUGGCUAGGGAAUCUGGGCAACAAAGUAUCUCUGGGUCGCGUGGGUGGUCCCUUUAAAAAACCCUCCACUACUAGACUCGUGGGUCUCCCCCCUGGGGGUGGUCCCCAAAAAAGGAGCAGGAAAAGUACCGUCUGAUUCCCAUUUGUCUUACCCCCGGGAAGGGUGGUGGGGGAGAGUUCGGUGACUAGUGACAUCUCCUCGGUACUCUGCUGAGUGUCUUCUGCGUCCUUUAACGCGGUGGCUGACGUGGUGGGGGCCGCGGGCCCGGGGGGGCCUUGUUGGCCAGGGCUGAGGUGGAAUCGGCGUUCCGUUUGCUGCCGGAGCUGUCACCAUCUUCUGGGGUGUUUAAAGACAGGUAUGGCGUGGAUAUGUGCCUCCCGAUGGGUGUUCCAUGUCCUGCUUUUACUUUGAAUGUUUUAGCAUGUUCUGGGACUGGGUGGUGAGGAAGGAGGCAGGGAUUGACUCCUUGCCGCACUGCUUUGUUGAUUUCCCUUGCGUGGGUCCUGUCGAUUCGCCAAACUAUGCGAUGCUGCUGCGGGUUUUGGGUGCGGUGUUCCAUCGGUUGGGGGUCCUGUUGGCACACGACAAGACGGUGGGCCCGGUUACCUGUCUCCACUUUCUGGGCAUUGAGAUUGACUCUAUGGCGGGGGAAUGCCGCUUGCCUAGGGAUAAGAUUUAAGGCUUACGGCGCGAGGUGGCCUUGGCCAUGGGGUGGCGCAAAGUUCAGCUGCGCUGCCUGCAGUCUCUCCUGGGUAAGCUGAAUUUUGCUUCUAGGAUCUUGCUUGUGGGGCUGGUCUUUAACCGGCGGCUGUCUGUGGCAACGGCCGGGGGUCUCCGGGCUCACCGUUUCUUUCGGCUCACUCGGCCGCUGUGGGGGGAAUUUUUUGCCGGUUUGGGACUCCUUCUUGACUGCAUAUAAUGGCCGGUCCUACGGGCAAAAAGGCCGGAGGUUUCUAAUGCCGACCUCCACCUCUUUCCGGACACGGCUGGCUUGGUGGGGUUUGGGGCCAUUCUGGGCUCUAGUUGGUGUGCUGCCGUGUGGCCGGACAGUGGGCGUGUCUCUGGGAUCACAUAGAAUCUGGCCUUUUUUGGAGCUUUUCCCCAUUUUAGUGGCGGCGGAGGUCUGGGGGGUUUUCAGGAUUGAAGGGUAGUGUUUUCACUGCAACAAUUUGGGGGUUGUGCAGGCCAUUAAUCGGCUGCCGGCCUCCCCCCUUCGGUGGUUCGCUUGCUUAGGCAGUUGAUACUUCGAUGUUUGUGUCUCAAGGUGUAUUAUAAGGCAGAGCAUAUACCGGGAGUUCACAAUGUGAUGGUGGAUGCUCUCUCUCGUUCUCGGUGGUCGGAGUUUCGGGCGGUCCCCCCACAGGCGGAUCUGGUGGGGACGCCUUCCCCGGGGGACAUCUGGUCGCUCGGUCAGGCAGAGUGAUGGAAUGGGUCCGUGGAUCGGUUAUCAAGGCCACCUGGACGCUAUGCUCCUGACAAGACUGGGUGGGGUUCCCCCUCUGGUCUGGCACCCUAUUUCGAUGCAUUUGCCUAUUCCCUGGAAUUCGUUGGGGCCAUGUACGUUGGGGAAUUGGUGAUUCCUAGUAGGCCAGGCAGUGGUGGGGUAUUGUUUGCCACCAUUCGACGCCCUGCGAUUCAUAUCACUAUAAGUAUUUGACAAUCACGGCUGUCAUAAUUUUUCCUUUGUGGUAUGCACGAUAUGCACGGGCCCUCUUUGGGUUAUGCGGAUGGGAUCUUUUCUUUCCCAUUCACAAUUCUUUGGGUUUUCACUCGUGUCUGAUGGUUCUGGGGAUUGACAGCAAGGAAUAGUGUGGCAUUCCUUUCGGUUUAGUGCUGCCUGUGAGGCUGUUAGGAUGGGUAUGUCAGCACACAUGGUGCAGUGAUCCGGGAGGGGGUAUGGUGAGAUGGCUCAGUGAAGUAAUGCUGGUUUCGUAGAAUUUGUUCAAACCUUGGGGGGUUGCAGGUUAAAUUCUCAGCGGCGGUGGCUCAACCAUUCAAUCCUUUGAGAUAGAUAAAUGAGUACCACUUCUUUAGGUAACAAUUGUUGGAAAAAGAAAAUAUCUGGAUGUAUUUUUCCUGGUUAUACUCCCAGGUGGCAUGCGUGUGUUCGUCCGGGAGGUGAGCUAUUGGGUUGUGCGCCUUCUGAAGCAGAGGUUCGGUGGUUUGGUGCCGGAGGUAUGAAAUGGGUUCGGCUCCUCCCGGAACAGGUUUCUGCUGUCCCACCUGUCCCUAAUGUUCGGGUUAUCCACCUGGGGGGCAUUGAGCUUGGGACGAUACCAAUGUGGUAUUUGGCGUCUGCCCCUAAGAGGGUAUUGGUGCGUGUUUUAGUUGUUUCGUGAUGCGUGGUGUUGGGUUCACUUUAUGACACUAUGUGUUCUGUUAUAUAUGUUCAGUUAUGGUUAUUUAUGUUUAACGUUUUGGUUACAGAAAAGAAGAGAGAUUAUUAAAAUAAAUUCUGGAUGUGUUAUACAGUAUUUAUCAUAUGUUAUAAAAAAUGUAAUUCCAAAAAUGAAAAACAAAAAUGAAAAAAACUUGAUUAGUCAGAGGUCAUUUCCCUAUCUUUUGCCAGCGUGCCCAUAAUCAGUGCAUGGUGCGCUGCCGUAUGAAGCAAUAAUUAGAGGGCCUCUAGGUGUGUUUGAGGGCAAGGGGAUUUUGGCUUGCCACGGGGUGUUUUCGCACACAUGGCAGCCAAAGAGUUUCUGGGUGAUGGAGGUCGGGCUCGACCUUUUUCGUCUUGCCAUGCAGGAAGUGGUGGAACAGGCCUUAGUUGGUUGUGGUGGGGCUCCCUGCUGAUUUUAGGUGUAAACCAGCGGGGUUUGUGGCAGUGAGCGUGUCCUUGCCAACAGGGUUGGGGAGCAGAUGGAAUGUCAGGAGAUGGUCAAGGUGGGUCUGAACCUCCCCUGCUCUGUAAGGUAAACUUUCAAGUUACUGAAUUAAACGUGCCCACCGAGCAAAAAGCCGGCUGGUGGUAGAGCAUUUAAGAUGAUGGGAAUUUUGGUUUGGACGAGGGGGGAGGUGAGACACCGGUGGAUAAAGUUUAGGUGCAUAGGCACCUGGUUAGGUUCGUUGGCAAGGACGGUUAUUUAAGUUGGAAGCUGUAGGGCAAUAAUUGUUGAUUUAUAUGUUAAUUAUGGUAUGCAUAUAUAUUUAUGUGUUUAUUUAUAUUUGAAUUAAAGGAAAAGAAUAAAGUUCCGAUGUGUCCUAAAGUUGUAAGUUUUAAUAAAUGCUGUGGCCUGUUUUAUCCAAUAUUCGUUGUCUGUCGUUAUUAGGGGGAUAAGUGGGGUAGUCUCUUUACUUUUAGUCGCACUACAUUCCCUGCUACGUACAUACAUGUAACAUCUACAUAGAAAAUAGAAAGGAUAGAAUAUAAACCGGUCCUUAGAAUGGCCGGACUAAUACGUUAGAGGCAGAGAAUGGUAAAGGGAUAGCCAAGGUCAAGGAAGCCAGAAAUACACAAAUACCUUUUAACAAGCCAAGUCAGGGGAACCAGAAAUCAGCAAAGUCAGGAAUAGCCAAGGUCAAAAUACCAGAAAUCACAAUAAUAGCAAGGAUAAACGGACUUUCGGGAACCAGGACAGGAAACCACGACAGGGCAAGGUACUGGCGUGCUUCAUGG
Molecule: long non-coding RNA, 4722 nt
Filed under: Pelobates cultripes (western spadefoot toad)
Lineage: Eukaryota; Metazoa; Chordata; Amphibia; Anura; Pelobatidae
Source: RNAcentral